UUGCUGACGAGUGGCGGACGGGUGAGUAAUGCUUGGGAAUCUGGCUUAUGGAGGGGGAUAACUACUGGAAACGGUAGCUAAUACCGCGUAAUGUCUACGGACUAAAGGGGGCAUUUGCUCCUGCCAUAAGAUGAGCCCAAGUGGGAUUAGGUAGUUGGUGAGGUAACGGCUCACCAAGCCGUCGAUCUCUAGCUGGUCUGAGAGGAUGACCAGCCACACUGGAACUGAGACACGGUCCAGACUCCUACGGGAGGCAGCAGUGGGGAAUAUUGCACAAUGGGGGAAACCCUGAUGCAGCCAUGCCGCGUGAAUGAAGAAGGCCUUCGGGUUGUAAAGUUCUUUCGGUGAUGAGGAAGGUGUGAUGGUUAAUACCCAUCACAAUUGACGUUAGUCACAGAAGAAGCACCGGCUAACUCCGUGCCAGCAGCCGCGGUAAUACGGAGGGUGCGAGCGUUAAUCGGAAUAACUGGGCGUAAAGGGCACGCAGGCGGUUGUUUAAGUGAGGUGUGAAAGCCCCGGGCUCAACCUGGGAAUUGCAUUUCAGACUGGACAACUAGAGUACUUUAGGGAGGGGUAGAAUUCCANGUGUAGCGGUGAAAUGCGUAGAGAUGUGGAGGAAUACCGAAGGCGAAGGCAGCCCCUU
RNAcentral lists this ribosomal RNA (643 nucleotides) under Muribacter muris. RNAcentral's name for it is "bacterial SSU rRNA". It matches the Rfam family "Bacterial small subunit ribosomal RNA", at positions 85 to 730 of the family's 1533-position model. The record is from RNAcentral. Lineage: Bacteria; Pseudomonadati; Pseudomonadota; Gammaproteobacteria; Pasteurellales; Pasteurellaceae.